GGGGCUGUUCUAGGAUUCGACAAGAAUUCUGAAAUCUGAGGUGCAUGUCGUGGGGCGGUUGGCCACGUUAAAAGCCGCAAAAAAUAGUCGCAAACGACGAAAACUACGCGCUAGCAGCUUAAAAAACUACUUAGUGCACUUCUGCUCUAGCUUCUGCACGUAAGACGGGGAAAAACGGAAGAUAAAACAAAACGUGCUUUGCCUGGAUUCUCCAACCUGAGAGAUGAACGGUGAACAAAUAUUCAGGUUAGCUUUUUUCCAGUGUGUCGAUAUCACGGGUUAAAGUGAAAAUUGAAAAUCGACUAAGCAUGUAGUACCAAUGAGGGAUGGUUUUUGGACGCGGGUUCGACUCCCGCCAGCUCCACCA
RNAcentral lists this transfer-messenger RNA (367 nucleotides) under Vibrionaceae. RNAcentral describes it as "Vibrio blepharus Standard tmRNA". It matches the Rfam family "transfer-messenger RNA". Rfam says of the family: Bacterial tmRNA, also known as 10Sa RNA or SsrA, is named for its dual tRNA and mRNA-like properties. The record is from RNAcentral. Lineage: Bacteria; Pseudomonadati; Pseudomonadota; Gammaproteobacteria; Vibrionales. RNAcentral also lists the same sequence under 1 other name.